This 310-nucleotide ribosomal RNA is filed under the name uncultured Rickettsiella sp. Its description in RNAcentral is "bacterial SSU rRNA". It matches the Rfam family "Bacterial small subunit ribosomal RNA", at positions 31 to 331 of the family's 1533-position model. Lineage: Bacteria; Pseudomonadati; Pseudomonadota; Gammaproteobacteria; Legionellales; Coxiellaceae. The record is from RNAcentral.
GAACGCUGGCGGCAUGCCUAACACAUGCAAGUCGAACGGCAGCACAGUAAAGAUUUCGGUCUUUACGGGUGGCGAGUGGCGGACGGGUGAGUAAAGCGUAGGAAUCUGUCCUGGAGAGUGGGAUAACCCGAGGAAACUCGGGCUAAUACCGCAUGAUAUCGAGAGAUCAAAGCAGGGGACCCUUCGGGGCCUUGCGCUCUAGGAUGAGCCUACGUCGGAUUAGCUAGUUGGUGGGGUAAAGGCCUACCAAGGCGACGAUCCGUAGCUGGUCUGAGAGGAUGACCAGCCACACUGGGACUGAGACACGGCC